GAUGAACGCUAGCGGCAGGCUUAACACAUGCAAGUCGAGGGGCAGCGGGGUGUAGCAAUACACUGCCGGCGACCGGCGCACGGGUGCGUAACGCGUAUGCAACCUACCCAUAACAGGGGCAUAACACUGAGAAAUUGGUACUAAUUCCCCAUAACAUUCGAAGAGGCAUCUCUUUGGGUUGAAAACUCCGGUGGUUAUGGAUGGGCAUGCGUUGUAUUAGCUAGUUGGUGAGGUAACGGCUCACCAAGGCGACGAUACAUAGGGGGACUGAGAGGUUAACCCCCCACAUUGGUACUGAGACACGGACCAAACUCCUACGGGAGGCAGCAGUGAGGAAUAUUGGUCAAUGGACGCAAGUCUGAACCAGCCAUGCCGCGUGCAGGAUGACGGCUCUAUGAGUUGUAAACUGCUUUUGUACGAGGGUAAACUCACCUACGUGUAGGUGACUGAAAGUAUCGUACGAAUAAGGAUCGGCUAACUCCGUG
Molecule: ribosomal RNA, 485 nt
Filed under: uncultured organism
Description: bacterial SSU rRNA
Rfam family: Bacterial small subunit ribosomal RNA
Source: RNAcentral